Long non-coding RNA from Perognathus longimembris pacificus (Pacific pocket mouse), 956 nucleotides. RefSeq lists it as uncharacterized. The record is from RefSeq and is a predicted model, not a curated record. The transcript has 3 exons. Lineage: Eukaryota; Metazoa; Chordata; Mammalia; Rodentia; Heteromyidae.
UCUGGGCUUUAGAAACAAGUUUCUGGCUGAAGCGAAACUACAGUGUAACCCACUGGCUGUCAUUUCACGUGGACCCAUGGAGCAAGAAGUCGUUGACUCAUCACCUUCUAUCACCCCAAGAGCUACAGAUCAAAGAUUUAUCAACUGAGUCCUUGUAAGCCCUCUGCCAAGACCACCAGAAAACCUCUUCUAGUACAGAUAAAAGAAGAGGAUUUCUAGAAUGGACUCAACUAGAAUGCUGUGGGACCUGACCAAUAAAGUGUCAACUUCUGAAACACCUCAUUAUGAAAAUGGCAACAAAAUAGAGCAUAUGCCAGGGUAAAAUGUCCCCUGGGUUCAGCCACUGAGACACAGAGUGGACACAGAACAUCUGAGGCCUUCUAGUAAGAUACUUUCCUUUGCACUCACUCUCCUUUGUCCUGGACUUCCGUUUUUGAACUGCCAAGACAAGAACCUGAGAAGACUCCAGUGUCUGAGGCUCACAGUGGAGCUACAGCACUGGCAGGAUCUGCCUAUGGCUGAGCUGCACCACAGAGCAGGCAUGUCUGCUGCUGAGAUGCAACACAACGCAGGUGUUGCCUGCUACAGGGUUGCAGCACUAGGGGCAUCUUUGCUGGCCCUGGAGCCAGAAGGAACAUGACAUCAGAAGGAAGACAUGCACAUGCAACUUUAGCAAGGUUACAUACACAAGACACAUCUGUAUCCAUUUAAAUUUAUUCCCUCCAUCAUAUUUCAUAGUUUUCACAAACUAUGCAGAUGGUGGUCAUGUUUUGUUAAAUUUCUAUAUAAGAGUUUCAGUUUUUUUAACUUUAUAAACAUACUUCAAUUGUUUUGCUAUUAAAAUCUUAAAGUUUAAAUUGCUUAUUAUAAAUGUAUCAAAAGGAAAUUGCCUAAAUACUGGCCUUGUAUAUGUAAUAUUGCUAAAUUCUUUUAUUAAAUACAGUAUGCUAUGCUUC